AUUGAACGCUGGCGGCAGGCCUAACACAUGCAAGUCGAGCGGAGCGGCGGACGGGUGAGUAAUGCCUCGGAAUCUGCCUGGUAGUGGGGGAUACCGUCCGGAAACGGGCGCUACUACCGCAUACUAUCAGAUGAGCCUCGGUCGGAGUAGCUAGUUUGUGGGGUAAAGGCCUACCAAGGCGACGAUCCGUACCUGGUCUGAGAGGAUGAUCAGUCACACUGGAACGGAGACACGGUCCGGAAUCCUACGGGAGGCAGACGUGGGGAAUAUUGGACAAGUGGCGAAAGCCGGAUCCAGCCAAGCCGCGUGUGUGAAGAAGGGCUUCGGAUUGUAAAGCACUUUAAGUUGGGAGGCGUUACCAACAGAAUAAGCACCGGCUAACUUCGUGCCAGCAGCCGCGGUAAUUC
RNAcentral lists this ribosomal RNA (407 nucleotides) under uncultured bacterium. Its description in RNAcentral is "partial 16S ribosomal RNA". It matches the Rfam family "Bacterial small subunit ribosomal RNA", at positions 30 to 526 of the family's 1533-position model. The record is from RNAcentral.